ACAAUAUAGUCGAUGAUUUGCGCGCGUAAGAAACAAAAAACAAUGUGUUGACAACAAAUCGCAGGGCGUGUGACGUUCGUUCACUUGUUGUUUUCAUCCGCCACGCAUCCGAUUACGUUCUAAGAUAGAUCUAAUGUUGGGUGUCGCUUCGACUGUGCAGGGCGGCAGGUUUUUAAUUAGUCUCAUUAGUUAAUGACAGGUUAUACAGGGAUAGCGUGUUAUGUGGGUGGGGAAGGUGAUAUGCUUGUGUGUGUGUGGUGGUGGAGUCUGUGUCCACACACGGGCGGGGAAAAAAUGUUAAUGACAUGAUCUGUAUUGACUAGUGCUGACAUCUGUAGUACAUGUUUCAGGGACCGGCCUUGCAAAUCUCACCACAGGUCGGCGAGUCCUGAGAAGAAACGGCAUCGGAAGCACGCACGAGACGUCUCAACGUCGUCGUCAUCGUCCUCCGACUCAGACUCGUCUCGAAGUCUCCCGGUGAAGAAAGUCGAAGAGCAAGAA
Priapulus caudatus is the source of this 501-nucleotide long non-coding RNA. RefSeq lists it as uncharacterized. The record is from RefSeq and is a predicted model, not a curated record. The transcript is spliced from 3 exons. NCBI's taxonomy places the organism in Eukaryota, Metazoa, Priapulida, Priapulimorpha, Priapulimorphida, Priapulidae.